RNAcentral lists this long non-coding RNA (6145 nucleotides) under Lactuca sativa (garden lettuce). RNAcentral describes it as "long non-coding RNA (LSAT_LNC000892)". The record is from RNAcentral. Lineage: Eukaryota; Viridiplantae; Streptophyta; Magnoliopsida; Asterales; Asteraceae.
GAUUGAGAUCCGGGUAGUUGUUGUUAUGUUAUUGCUUUGAUAUGUUUGCAUCCUGAGAGCUAGGAUGGUAUAUGUUAGAGACCUGAUUGAGAUCGGUAUCCUGAGAGAUAGGGAGAUGCUAUGCUAGUGACCUGUUAGGUCGGUAUCCUGGUUAGGAUGAUGAUAUGUUAUGUGAUCUGUUUGAUCUGCUUGUUGACUGUGAAUUGCUAUAUGAUUGUAUGUAUAUGUGCACAUGGUUGUUUGGACUGGAGUUGGGUUGAGGCGGGUCCUGCUGUGUGCUGUAGGCCAAGAUACCCAGGGCGGACCGGUUGUCCCGAAGGCCCAGCGAGCGGUCCGGAUAGGCUGUAGGCCCCAAGAGGGCGGACCAGACGUGCCGAGGCUCGGAGAGUGGACCAGGCCGACUGAAGGCCCGGUGCGGGCGGACCAGUCAUACUGUAGACUCAGAGAGUGGACCAGGUGGAUUGAAGGCCCGGUGCGGGCGGACCAAUCACACUGCAGACUCGAUGUAUGUGGAUAGACUCAGAGGGUGGACCAGGUGGACUGUAGGCCGGUGCGGCGGACCAGUCACACAGUAGACCCGAAGUGCAUGGCUGUUCUGUGAUCGGAUAUGUUAUGGCAUGUUAUGCGUGUAUGGUAUUUGUGGUUGGUAUUUUGGGGAUAUCUCACUAAGCUUUCGGGCUUACAGUUGUGGUUUCAUGUUUUUCAGGUUCUUCAGGAGACUGUGGCAAGGCGAAGGCGUGAUCGUACCGCUCCUCAUGAUUUUGUAGUAUUGUGAUUCUGGGAAUACGUUAAAUGUUUUGUAUUGAAAACCUUUUUGUAAAGAUUUAAUGGAAUCGAGAUGUUUUUGAAAAAUUUAAAAUUGGUUGUAUUUUUCGGUCGUUACAAGUUGGUAUCAGAGCCUUGGUUUGAGUGAAUUGGAGGAACAUUCGUGUGACUCCAGUCUCAAAUCGAGGAGAGUUUUCAAAAGAGUAUUUAAAAUGGUUUUCAAAAUGAGUAAGGGAGGACGCGGAGGUACGAUCAGCCGGAGCCAGUAAGUAACCCCAAAAUACCAUGCAUGUUAUUUGUUUUUGAGCUUUGAUAGAACAGCAUGCUAGUGAUAGGCUAGGGAUCUUCAGGAUUUCAUGAUAUGUUGCCUGAUUUGUGAUGCCUGUAGCCUAGGGUUCCUUAUGGGAUAUUUUCAGUGUUCCUCUAGUGGUGAGGGUUGAGCGUUGUUAUGCAUGUUUCUCUAGGGCGUUGUGGUAGUACUUCAUACAAAUAUGGGUAGGUGUGGAAGGUAGUAUGGGCCCGUACUACUGAAAGCACAGGACCCAUACGCGUAUCAGGGAAACCAUGAUCUCUAGGGUUGGGUUGAGAGAGUUGGAUCCCAGGUUGGUGGGAAGAGUCUGAGAUUUUGUGUGGUGUUUUUCAGUAUGGAGAUUCCGAGGCAUGAUGAGAGUGGAUCCGGAUCAGGAUCGGGAGCAGGAGAGAGAGUUCCGGGCGGAUCGGUACCGCCCGAGGUUAUCGGUCAGAUGAGCACGUGCGAGUUGGAUGCGAGGAUUCGUGAGAUCCUGCGUGAUGAGAUUGCUGAGUUGUUCCGGGCUGAGUUGCCGGAGCUGUUUGGGUCGAUCAAGACCGCCAUGGUUGAGUAUUUUGAUGAGCGCUAUGCAGCUCUCACAGAGACGGCUGCCGCGGCGGCUACAGCGGCUGUAGCAGCGGCAGGGGGAGGAGCUAGUCGGGGUUUUCAGUAUCGGGACUUCGAUAAUACGAAGCCUCCCACCUUCGAUGGAGUUCAGGACCCGAUUGUUGCUAUGAGAUGGUUAUCAGACGUGGAGGGGUGUUUCUUCACGUGUUCAUGCCCUGCUGAUCAGAGGGUGAGGUGUGCUCUGAACCUGUUGAGGCUCGGGGCGAAGGAUUGGUGGAGAUUGACCACGGGGUCAUAUUCAGAUGCGCAGAGGGCUGCGGUAUCAUGGGAUCAGUUCCGAGAGAUGUUCAUCACUCGUUAUGUUCCGCAGGUUGAGAGGGAGAGAUUGGCUCAGGAGUUCCUUGAGCUGAAGCAGGAUUCGGAGUCGGUGACUGAGAUCACCAGGAUGUUCACUGAGAGGGCGAUGUUUUGCCCAGAGUUCGCUUCGGAGCAGGCUCAGAUGUCUCGAUAUCUGAGCAUGCUCAAGAGGGACAUCAGACAGUUUGUGUCUGCGCAGAGGUGCGAGACCUUGUUGGAGUUGCAGGAGGCCGCCAGGCGGCGUGAGUUAGAGAUUGAGUUGCAGUUGCGUGAGCUGAGGCAGGCUCCGGUGCAGUCGCAGCCGGCGCCGAAACGGUCCAAGACCGUUGAUGCUAGAGUGGGGGAUCUGAGCAGCCACACUUGUGGGAAGUGUGGGAGGGGUCACACCGGAGUUUGUAGGUCCGGUGGUGCAUGCCGCAAGUGCGGAAAGGAGGGGCACUAUGCGAGGGAUUGUCGGCAGUCAGCGCCGGUUCGGGAUUUGAGGAUUUGUUAUCAUUGUCAUCAGGUUGGACAUUUGAGGGUCAACUGUCCACAGCUUGCUGCAGGACCGGUGCAGGCUCCAGCACCGGCCACUUUGAGGAUCACAGGUGGAGGUCAGGGUGGAGCGGAGCCCCCAAGGGCUCAGGGUCGUGCUUUUCAGCUUGCAGCAGAGGAGGUCAGAGCAGUGCCGGAUGCAGCUGCGGGUAUGUUUCUUUCUUGAUGUCUUGUUAUCUUGUGAUUAUUGUGGUGUAUUGUUUAUGUGCUGGUAUCUUUGUGUGGUUUUCGAUGCGGUAUUCGUCGUUUUGAGGGUUGUGGUUUGGUUAUGGGUUAUUGUUUUGGGAAUUUCGUUGGUUAUCAUCCAUGAGAGUUAUUAGUGGGAACCUGGCAUUGGUUUGAAGGCCGGGUAGCAUCUGCUUUCUGAGGAGUGGUUAGAUGCAGAUUGAGUUUCUUUCGAGCGGGUUAAUCGGUGUUGAUGUGAGAUCUCGUUAAGGUUGUUUAUGCUUGUGGGAAGCAGUCCGCGUGUAAGUGUUUUCUUUGUGCAGAGUUGUUCUGGGAGGUCGGUGAUGGCGACCGGUGGUUGUUAAUCAGUGCUACAAGUGGGGGAGAAUUGGAAAAUUCUCCGGAAGAUCGAUGAGCAUUUGAGGGUGAUUAGCUGUUUGGGAUUUAGCAGUGUUCUGUCAGCCCAGAGUGUAGCCUGGUAGGAGCAAGUGUUGGGCAUGCAGGGCGGGAUACAGACCUAGGGCAUUUGAUUGUGGAGGGCCUGGGGUCAGGCCGGGAUCGAGUAUGUAUGAUGGAGUUAGAGUUCGGAACCCCUAGAGGGCUAGAACGGUAUGCAUGGGAGGAUUUCCCGGAGAGAUAGUUCGGAAUGAUGAAUGCUAGUUGAGCGGUCCGGAUAGACUGAAGGCCCGUAGGCGUACCAGUCAGGCCGAAGGCUCGGAGGACGGUCCAGCCAGACUGAAGGCACUGAGAGCGGUCCAGAUUGGCUGAAGGUUCUAAGAGUGGUCCAGAUUGGCUGAAGGCCUGGUGAGGUGGUCCAGUCAUGCUGAAGACUCUGCAAGUCUUGUUGGAUCGGUUCGAGGAUAUGGAUUGUGUAUGGUGCGGUGUGAUAGCCUUAGAAGGUCUGGCCCCAGGUAGUGAUCUUGAUUAGUGGAGUUUGUGCAUGGGCUUGAGAGUCCCUGCGGUCAGAGUCAGAGCAUGCAUGAUGGAUGGUUAGCGGUUACGCUAUGAAGGAGUGGUGUAGCGUUGGGCGAGCACCGUGGCACUUGUCGGAGUGACAAGGCGGCCAAGUGAAUUUCCUUGGUAAAGGAAAGAGAGAUGAGUGUAACUCCGAGAGGGAGUGCAAGUUCAAGGAAGUGAAAGCGGAAGAGCCGAGUUAUGAUUAGAGUGAUCUGAGUAUGAUUAUUGAGCUGCGUGUUUGCGGCAGUGGAAUGGAAGCACAUCCGGUUUGGGAUGUCUGUUGAGGUCGCGGAAGGAAUUCCGCGGGUGUAACGCCAAGAGGCUCGGAAGGGAUGCAGGGAGGGAGUCUUAGGCUCUCAGUGUGAUUCUGAUCAGGGAAUUGUGUACGUAGUAGUGGUUCGUCCUGGGGGAUGUUGGAGAUGUCGUCAGUGUGACGGGUUUCCUAACCCGAGAGUGCGAGGGCUAUUGCAGCAUGUGCGUGUGAUUGCAAGAAGAGGACUCGUGGGAGUUGCUCUGAGAUUGUAGAAUGGGUCUUUCGGUCAGCAUGGAAUGGAUAGAGUGAGAUCCGGAUUAGGGAUCCAGUGGUUCAUGGUUUUCUAGCUCAUAUGGGUCGAGUGAUUGUUGGGAUUUGGAGCAGUGAUGCAUCAUGGGAAGUACUCGGUUGAUGAGUGUGAUUAUCAGAGGGUACAACCGGUGCCCGGUUUGAGACGGUGGUCAGGACACCGCAAGGAAAGAGAAAGUGAGUUCGAAUUUCGAUGGGUAUGCCUUUAGGGACAUGGUCUGGUUGAGGCCAGGUGGCGCGUUGUGGGAGUAUUUUUGGAUUUGAGUUGCCGUAGGCUUCGAGGACGAAGCCUAAUUUAAGUGGGGGAGAAUUGUAACAUCCCGAAAUAUCAAGAGUAGAGUUGAAGGGUUAAAAGAGUAAAUUGGGAAAGAGCGACUCGGCGAGUCCAUGGGUGGACUCGGCGAGUAGAGUCGCGACUUGGUCGCGUGUUAAGUGGCUGACUCGGCGAGUCAGAGUAAUGGACUCGGCGAGUAGGCGCUGAGUGGAGAAAACCCUAAUUCUCGGGGUUGAGCCCUAUAUAAAGAACAUAACAUCCAUUCCCCCAGCCUCCUUACUCAUCCUCAAGUCCAGAAACCCUAACCUUUGUAUGUGAGUGGAUCAAGUUGCAUUUGGGAGCUUGGAGAAGCAAUUGUUGAGGAAAUCUUGAAGAAGAAGAGGCUUGGAGCAAGGGGCUUUGCUUGGAUUCGAGUUCCAUUAGUUGGGGCGUUCUUUUGAGGUAAUAUCUCAUCCAUGGGCUGUUACUCUUAUGGAUUCAUCAUUUUGGGGUUUGUGGGGAGCUUAUCUUGGUAUGUUUUGGAGUUUGGAAGUUAGAUCUGAGGUUGCUACCUNUGAGGUGGCUACCUCAGAUCUGGAGUGGUGGUGGUCCUAAUGUGCAUAAAGUCCCUGUGUUGAGUGUUGGGUGAAGCUAUCAUGUCCCAAACCUUAGCCCUAAUGUGCAAAAUUCAUAAGUCUCUUUGGAUUCACGUAAAGUUUGCCACUUUACGUGAUGGAUGGGUUGUAGGAGGCUAGAUCUAUGUUUUGGAUCAAUUGCAUGGCCUGGAAUGCUUCUGUAUGGAUUCAGACCGGUGGUACUCGGCGAGUCACAUGGGUGGACUCGACGAGUUGCUUGAAGAUGAGCUGGAACUCGACGAGUUGGAAGAACAACUCGGCGAGUUGGAUGAAGAUGGCCUGGAACUCGGCGAGUUGUAUGAACAACUCGGCGAGUAGGUUGAAGAUAGCCUUAGACUCGGCGAGUCUGUUCUUGGACUCGGCGAGUCUUGUCGAAGAGUCCCAAUAUUUUCUGGUUGAGUCGAGAAUCGGCGAGUCAAGGGAUGACUCGGUGAGUUGUGGGCGAGUGGACUCAGAGUUGUUGGACUCGACGAGUCUCGGGGUGACUCGGCGAGUUAGGUCGCGGAUUGAGGGAAGUUCUGAGUAUGGGGACUCGGCGAGUCAUCGGGUUGACUCGGCGAGUAGAGUCAGUCAGGGGUUGACUUUGACCUUGUCUUUGACCAAGGGUUGACCAGUGGUUUCCAGGGGCAUUUUGGUAAUUGUUGAUUAUUGUUUUGAGUUCAGUGCAUUGGUGGUUGUCCAGUGGUGGAGAUCGUAUCAGUGAUCGGAGCAGCUUGGGUUAUCUGUUCAGUCGGCAGUUUCGAGGUGAGUUAUCCUCACUAUAUCAACAGGGUCUAAGGCACCAAGGCCGGCCCUUAUCGGAUUGAGAUCCGGGUAGUUGUUGUUAUGUUGUUGCUUUGAUAUGUUUGCAUCCUGGUAGCUAGGAUGGUAUAUGUUAGAGACCUGAUUGAGAUCGGUAUCCUGAGAGAUAGGGUGAUGCUAUGCUAGUGACCUGUUAGGUCGGUAUCCUGGUUAGGAUGAUGAUAUGUUAUGUGAUCUGUUUGAUCUGCUUGUUGACUGUGAAUUGCUAUAUGAUUGUAUGUAUAUGUGCACAUGGUUGUUUGGACUGGAGUUGGGUUGAG